This 82-nucleotide transfer RNA is filed under the name Fragilariopsis cylindrus CCMP1102. It matches the Rfam family "tRNA". Rfam says of the family: Transfer RNA (tRNA) molecules are approximately 80 nucleotides in length. The record is from Rfam by way of RNAcentral. Lineage: Eukaryota; Bacillariophyta; Bacillariophyceae; Bacillariales; Bacillariaceae.
GACACCGUGGCCAAGCAGUUAAGGCGAUUGACUAGAAAUCAAUCGGGUUUAUCCCGCGUAGGUUCGACUCCUUCUCCUUUUU